Molecule: ribosomal RNA, 551 nt
Filed under: Arthrobacter sp. PRB13
Lineage: Bacteria; Bacillati; Actinomycetota; Actinomycetes; Micrococcales; Micrococcaceae
Description: bacterial SSU rRNA
Rfam family: Bacterial small subunit ribosomal RNA
Source: RNAcentral
ACGGGUGAGUAACACGUGAGUAACCUGCCCCUGACUCUGGGAUAAGCCCGGGAAACUGGGUCUAAUACCGGAUAUGACCAUGGGACGCAUGUCUUGUGGUGGAAAGAUUUAUCGGUUGGGGAUGGACUCGCGGCCUAUCAGCUUGUUGGUGAGGUAAUGGCUCACCAAGGCGACGACGGGUAGCCGGCCUGAGAGGGUGACCGGCCACACUGGGACUGAGACACGGCCCAGACUCCUACGGGAGGCAGCAGUGGGGAAUAUUGCACAAUGGGCGCAAGCCUGAUGCAGCGACGCCGCGUGAGGGAUGACGGCCUUCGGGUUGUAAACCUCUUUCAGUAGGGAAGAAGCGAGAGUGACGGUACCUGCAGAAGAAGCGCCGGCUAACUACGUGCCAGCAGCCGCGGUAAUACGUAGGGCGCAAGCGUUAUCCGGAUUUAUUGGGCGUAAAGAGCUCGUAGGCGGUUUGUCGCGUCUGCCGUGAAAGUCCGAGGCUCAACCUCGGAUCUGCGGUGGGUACGGGCAGACUAGAGUGAUGUAGGGGAGACUGGAAU